GUCCCAGCAUCGUGAGCCCAAAGACACCCCUCUCCCACGCAGAGGAGCCGAGGCACCGAGCAGCAAACGGCUCGGCUCACUCACACAGGAUCUGAUCAGAUCCCACGCACGUGGCCAGACGUCAGUUUGGACAUCUUCACCGGCUGUGACACAGCAACGCAGUGGCGUGGCUAUUUGGGGUCCUGCUGCCAUGCAAAGCGAGGGGAUUUGCUACGGGAUUCGUCCCCCCACCCGGGAGCUUCGCGGUGCUGCCUCUCUUCCCCCCGGUCCUUGUGUUUAUGGUCGCGGCGCCGCAUGGCUUUGCGCUUGCUUCAUGCUUGGAAGGCUCUGCCCGAGUUUGAAGAUAGCCUGAAACAAUAGCUCAGACAGAAGUGGAAACUGCCUGCUCAUCUCGACAGGGUGCUGAGCCUGAAACUUCCUGAUAAUUGAAAGUGCUAGCGCUGCUCAAGUGUUUCACAGCUGGAUGUUUACAGAAACCGUCAGCGAGCGAGCUUAUCCCACAAACCCCAAGUGCCGCGGGGCCAGCACUCCCAGCUGUCCUCUCCUGGCUCCCCAGCUCAAGGUUUUCAGCGCCCGGCCCCGCAGCGCGCUCCGGCCGUCAGUCACCGCUCGAGGCUGAUGGAAUCGCGAGCGCGUCGCGCCCAUACGUCCCCAGAUUGCCCAGGUGGGCGCAGGAACGAGGUGAAACGUGACAAAGCACGCUGUCCUCGAGGGGAAAGUGCAAAAUAAUAGGCAGCAAACCGCUGGCUUGUUUAGGAACACUUUUGAAGCAGGGCACGAGCGUGCCCUAAUAUAGCCAGGGACACGCAACGCACCGCGGCUCCGGCACAGAGCCCUGGUGAGCCAAGAGGCCGGCAGCGUGUCCUGCUAAGGACAGCCGCCACGCCCCAACCUCACGGCCAGCAUUAAUUACGAUUAAUUAACGGCGUCCAGCACCUCCGUCAGGUACCAGCAGAGUUAACUCUCCUGCCGCCCGGCCCUGCGCGGCGCCAUUGGACAGCGGCGGCAUCCAUCACGCCUCGGAAGUGACUGCGCGGGGAAGGCUGCUUUGCGCCAGUGUGUACACGGAAGGAGAGGGCAAGAGGCGCCGAGCACGCACCGCUCGCAGCAGCGAGCAAAGCCCAAGACCUCGUGGCCUGCUUUCGGCACGGCCGGUGAAACAGCCCACGAGGGAGGCGAGCAGCCCCGCCAGGAGCAGCAGCAACAGCAGCAGGAGGAGGAGGAAGGAGGCCCUCGUCGGGCACUUGGCGAGUCCAGAGGUCUCAGUUCCCCUCCCGGCCGUUUCUCCGUCUCACGCCACUUUUCUUCCCCGUCCCCGCCACCGCCACGGACGGGCUUUCCCCACCCCCGUUUCGGAGCAAACCCCAAAAUACCAGCACCAAAACUCCCCACCGACCCGCGCCCACGUGGCGGCCGUGCCCGCAGCCGGGGGGUCCCGGCAGCCCCUGCCCACGGCUGCGCCCACCCGUUAAGGAGCCACGCGUGGGGCACUCAGAGCCCCCCCCCGACCCCACCGAUAGGAAAACCCCCGGCCCCACAAAGCCUCCUGGCUUUGGACCCCCAGCACCGCACCAGCUUUAAUAGGGUGUAUUUUAAACACCGUUAAAAAUCCAGGCACCGGCUGCCCCGGGGGGGGGGGGCACAGGAUAAACCCUGUCCCUUAUACACACCUAG
Long non-coding RNA from Anser cygnoides (Swan goose), 1674 nucleotides. The record is from Ensembl. Lineage: Eukaryota; Metazoa; Chordata; Aves; Anseriformes; Anatidae.